UAUGGUAUUGUGUGCCACCGCGCGGUACAACGUAGGUCACAAGCGUUGUCCGGAAUUACUGGGUGUAAAGGGAGCGCAGGCGGGAGAACAAGUUGGAAGUGAAAUCCAUGGGCUCAACCCAUGAACUGCUUUCAAAACUGUUUUUCUUGAGUAGUGCAGAGGUAGGCGGAAUUCCCGGUGUAGCGGUGGAAUGCGUAGAUAUCGGGAGGAACACCAGUGGCGAAGGCGGCCUACUGGGCACCAACUGACGCUGAGGCUCGAAAGUGUGGGUAGCAAACAGG
RNAcentral lists this ribosomal RNA (281 nucleotides) under Faecalibacterium prausnitzii. Its description in RNAcentral is "partial 16S ribosomal RNA". It matches the Rfam family "Bacterial small subunit ribosomal RNA", at positions 494 to 776 of the family's 1533-position model. The record is from RNAcentral. Lineage: Bacteria; Bacillati; Bacillota; Clostridia; Eubacteriales; Oscillospiraceae.